RNAcentral lists this long non-coding RNA (1649 nucleotides) under Pelobates cultripes (western spadefoot toad). Lineage: Eukaryota; Metazoa; Chordata; Amphibia; Anura; Pelobatidae. The record is from RNAcentral.
ACAUUUCAAUUCCCUCAUUCUAUUGCCCACCAAAGUCUGCCCCCCCCCCCCCAAGCCGAGGCACAUCUUAGCUGCAGGACACAAGUGUAGAUCUCCUCCUUUUCUUCCUCUGCAGCAAGCCCAAUGCCUCCAGGGGACUGAAAUCCCCGUGGUACCCCUAAGCCAGUCCCUGUCCCCUGCCAGUGCAGUCCAUGGCAAUGUGGGCACUCAGAGUUAGUCACAGUCUACUGGACCCCCACCACAAAUAAUCCGCAGACAGCUCAACUCCUGCACCUCCCUGUGCCACUUCAGCUCCUGUCUGGCGUGAAUUGCCUCAAGUCUCACCCAGCUCCGGCCACACACUUGUUGUCAGUGGGCUUCACCUCCAGUCACCGGUACGCCGAAGGAUCGUGCAGACCGGCCCCAAAGGGCUCUCAGAACCAGGGAGUAUUUGCUCCAGGCCACUCCUCAAACCUAGAGACAGAGGCCUCCACCACAGCAGUGGCCACGCGGCAGGAGAGCCACCCCUGAGGGAACUUUAACAUGCAGCAGGUCUUCACUGCGGGUAUGUAUUAAUUUUCUGUCCCCCAGGCAAAUGUGUGAGUAUGUGUGUGGCACUCAGAGCAGGACAGCUGGGGAGGGACCAACUUGUGGAUGUGCCAUCAUCUCUAACACCAUCUCAGUCCAAACCUCCACAGCAAGGACCUGGAUCAACCCGCCGACCGGGGAGGAGGGGCCGGGCCGCCACUUGCUCCUCCCUGCACAUAUUACUGCUUUUCAUGGCAGUGUGGAUGCAAUCAGCCCUUCCGUGAACGCUAGUCGCAGGCUUCAGGGCCAUGUGCCCGGGUAGGCCCAAGAGUAGUGCGGCUCCAUCUGACUGGUGCACCCAGCGGCAGCACAGGAAUCGUAAGGGAGCUUAGGUGUUCCCCCACCCAAAUCAGUGAGUUGCAGACUUGUUUAAUGAUCAUAAAAUUUGCCCUUUGAAGAGGUUUGAGUCCGGAGCCACGGGAGAUGGCUGCCGCUCAGGUCAGCGGCAUGGCCUGCCCCCAAUGUCUGAUAUUCUAACACUUCUUUUGUGUGAAAUACUCUCUGCAGACUUGAUUUUAAGAUUAUGCACCAAUGUUAUCCCAGCAAUUUUACAUAUUUAACAUAACAUAAUAAUAUUUUUAUUAGUGAUAUUGCAGAAGGUCUUGAUGGUAAGGUAUGUCUUUUUGCUGAUGAUACUAAGAUAUGUAACAGGGUUGAUGUUUCAGGAGGGAUAAACCAAAUGACAAAUGAUUUAGGUAAACUAGAAAAAUGGUCAGAAUUGUGGCAACUGACAUUUAAUGUGGAUAAGUGCAAGAUAAUGCAUCUUGGAUGUAAAAACCAAAGGGCAGAGUACAGAAUAUUUGAUAGAGUCCUAACCUCAACAUAUGAGGAAAGGGAUUUAGGGGUGAUUACUUCUGAUGACUUAAAGGUAGGCAGACAAUGUAAUAGAGCAGCAGGAAAUGCUAGCAGAAUGCUUGGUUGUAUAGGGAGAGGUAUUAGCAGUAGAAAGAGGGAAGUGCUCAUGCCAUUGUACAGAACACUGGUGAGACCUCAGUUUUGUACACAGUACUGGAGACCGUAUCUUCAGAAGGAUAUUGAUACCUUAGAGAGGGUUCAGAGAAGGGCUACUAAACUGGUUCAUG